CACUCACCACAACCAGGGGCUGUUUCACAAUUUGGGUUAGUAAUCUUAGGGGCUUCCCAUUCACCAUCCUCUUCAUCGUCCCAAUCUUCUGGUUUUGUAGCCUCUGGGUCAUCUAUCUCCUCAGGCUCAUCAUCUAACCAUCCUUCAGGUUUCACAGUUUCUUCAUCAAGAAUUUCCAAGGGUGCAUCCUCAUCCCAGUCAUCAGGCUUUACUGCACUUGGGUCUGGAAUUUUCUCUCUCUCGUCCCAGUCCUCAGGUUUCUUAUCUUCAGGAUCUGGGAUUGUCUUGGGAGGGAUAAGGGAAGGCUCAAAAUCCUCAGAAGAUAAGAAAUUUGCCUUUUUCUUCUGUUCCCCAUCAAUCAAAAUUUGCAACUCAUUGUCGGGUUUCAAAAUAGCAGUGUAC
RNAcentral lists this long non-coding RNA (402 nucleotides) under Medicago truncatula (barrel medic). RNAcentral describes it as "long non-coding RNA (MTRU_LNC006636)". The record is from RNAcentral. Lineage: Eukaryota; Viridiplantae; Streptophyta; Magnoliopsida; Fabales; Fabaceae.